Molecule: unclassified non-coding RNA, 164 nt
Filed under: uncultured Hypocreales
Lineage: Eukaryota; Fungi; Ascomycota; Sordariomycetes; Hypocreales
Description: sequence contains ITS1
Source: RNAcentral
CUGAGUUACAAAACUCCCAAACCCUUGUGAAUAUCUACCUAUCGUUGCUUCGGCGGUUGCGUCCCGGUGCCUUCAGUGCUCGGAUUCAGGCGCCCGCCGGAGGCCCCAGAAAACCAUUUGUGCAUCUCGUGGCUUUAUCUGAGUGGUAUAAGAAAAAUCAAUCA